GAAUCUUAGACAAUGGGCGCAAGCCUGAUCUAGCCAUGCCGCGUGAUCGAUGAAGGCCUUAGGGUUGUAAAGAUCUUUCAGCUGGGAAGAUAAUGACUGUACCAGCAGAAGAAGCCCCGGCUAACUCCGUCCCAGCAGCCGCGGUAAUACGGAGGGGGCUAGCGUUAUUCGGAAUUACUGGGCGUAAAGCGCACGUAGGCGGACUGGAAAGUCAGAGGUGAAAUCCCAGGGCUCAACCUUGGAACUGCCUUUGAAACUCCCAGUCUUGAGUUCGAGAGAGGUGAGUGGAAUUCCGAGUGUAGAGGUGAAAUUCGUAGAUAUUCGGAGGAACACCAGUGGCGAAGGCGGCUCACUGGCUCGAUACUGACGCUGAGGUGCGAAAGCGUGGGGAGCAAACAGG
This 400-nucleotide ribosomal RNA is filed under the name uncultured bacterium. RNAcentral describes it as "bacterial SSU rRNA". It matches the Rfam family "Bacterial small subunit ribosomal RNA", at positions 359 to 776 of the family's 1533-position model. The record is from RNAcentral.